AGAUACCCUGUUACUUAUAAUUAAAAGAUUUUGGAAUAGUAAUUAUUAUGAAAUUUAACUGAUUUGGCGGCAAAAUAGCCAUUUAGAGGAACCUGCCCUAUAAACGAUGAACCACGAAAUACUCUACUUUUUUUUGUAAACAGUUUGUAUACCUCUGUUGUCAGUCAGUUUUAUAAGAAAACUUUCUCUAAUGAUAAGAUCAUGAACUUCAAGUAAAGGUGCAGCUUAUAUAAAAGAUAGAGGUGGGUUACAUUUAUAUGAUUAAAACGGAUAAAGAUUUUGAAAAAACUUUUGAAGGCGGAUUUAAAUGUAAAGUUUAAGCAAACU
This 327-nucleotide ribosomal RNA is filed under the name Trevathana mizrachae. RNAcentral's name for it is "partial 12S ribosomal RNA". Lineage: Eukaryota; Metazoa; Arthropoda; Thecostraca; Balanomorpha; Pyrgomatidae. The record is from RNAcentral.